RNAcentral lists this ribosomal RNA (449 nucleotides) under uncultured bacterium. Its description in RNAcentral is "bacterial SSU rRNA". It matches the Rfam family "Bacterial small subunit ribosomal RNA", at positions 29 to 521 of the family's 1533-position model. The record is from RNAcentral.
AACGAACGCUGGCGGCAGGCUUAACACAUGCAAGUCGAACGGUUGUAGCAAUACAGCAGUGGCAGACGGGUGAGUAACACGUGGGAACCUUCCUAGGGGUACGGAACAACUCAGGGAAACUUGAGCUAAUACCGUAUACGUCCGUGAGGAGAAAGAUUUAUCGCCCUUAGACGGGCCCGCGUCGGAUUAGCUAGUUGGUGGGGUAACGGCCUACCAAGGCGACGAUCCGUAGCUGAUCUUAGAGGAUGAUCAGCCACACUGGGACUGAGACACGGCCCAGACUCCUACGGGAGGCAGCAGUGGGGAAUCUUGGACAAUGGGCGCAAGCCUGAUCCAGCCAUGCCGCGUGAGUGAAGAAGGUCUUCGGAUUGUAAAGCUCUUUUGCCAGGGACGAUAAUGACGGUACCUGGAGAAUAAGCCCCGGCAAACUUCGUGCCAGCAGCCGCGGU